GAUUCCUAAUGCUAGAACUGGAACUGAUCUUCCAUCUCCAAUGUUUAGGAACCUCUCACCUUGCUCGAAUCUCCUACUGACCUGCAACCCCUGCAACGAAUUGCAAAUAUGGUAAGGGCUACAGGUAUCCAAUACCCAGUCAGUUAUAUCACAAAUAGAGAAUUUGCAAAGAGUUAUCAUAUAAAUAUCUUGUCCAGCAACAGCUUGCUUCUUUCUCUGCCUGUU
This 225-nucleotide long non-coding RNA is filed under the name Elaeis guineensis (African oil palm). RNAcentral's name for it is "long non-coding RNA (EGUI_LNC078880)". The record is from RNAcentral. Lineage: Eukaryota; Viridiplantae; Streptophyta; Magnoliopsida; Arecales; Arecaceae.